GUCCACGCUGUAAACGAUGUGAGUUUGUCGCUGGGGGGUUCACCCUUCGGUGACGGAGCUAACGCGUUAAACUCACCGCCUGGGAAGUACGGCCGCAAGGUUAAAACUCAAAGGAAUUGACGGGGACCAGCACAAGCGGUGGAGUAUGUGGUUUAAUUCGUCGCAACGCGAAGAACCUUACCAGGCCUUGACAUACCGAUUUUGAAAAGCAGAGAUGCAUUUCUUAAGUUCGGCUGGAUCGGAUACAGGUGCUGCAUGGCUGUCGU
Molecule: ribosomal RNA, 266 nt
Filed under: uncultured bacterium
Lineage: Bacteria
Description: partial 16S ribosomal RNA
Rfam family: Bacterial small subunit ribosomal RNA
Source: RNAcentral